CCAUCGAGUCUUUGAACGCAAGUUGCGCCCGAAGCCGUCAGGCCGAGGGCACGUCUGCCUGGGCGUCACGCAACGUCGCCGGCGCCCGAUCCUCCGGGCGCGGCGGAUGAUGGCCUCCCGGGAGCCACGACUCCCGGCCGGCCGAAAAGGGGGSCCUACKUGACGGCCGCCACGAUCCACGGUGGUUGAGUGAGCGUUCGCUCGAGGCCAGGACGUGCGCGCGCCGUCCGACCGGGAGGGCCCGCCGGAGGGGGAAGAGCCCCCCGCUCGAACGCGACCCCAGGUCAGGCGGGGCUACCCGCUGAGUUUAAGCAUAUCAAUAAGCGGAGGAAAAGAAACUAACGAGGAUUCCCCUAGUAACGGCGAGCGAACCGG
RNAcentral lists this ribosomal RNA (375 nucleotides) under Albizia chinensis. Its description in RNAcentral is "eukaryotic LSU rRNA". Lineage: Eukaryota; Viridiplantae; Streptophyta; Magnoliopsida; Fabales; Fabaceae. The record is from RNAcentral.